GAAGCGGCAAGAGCUCAAAUUUGAAAUCUGGCCCCUCCGGGUCCGAGUUGUAAUUUGUAGAGGAUGCUUCGGGUGCGGCCCCCGUCUAAGUGCUCUGGAACGGGCCAUCGGAGAGGGUGAGAAUCCCGUCUGGGACGGGGUGUCCGCGUCCAUGUGAAGCUCCUUCGACGAGUCGAGUUGUUUGGGAAUGCAGCUCUAAAUGGGUGGUAAAUUUCAUCUAAAGCUAAAUACUGGCCGGAGACCGAUAGCGCACAAGUAGAGUGAUCGAAAGAUGAAAAGCACUUUGAAAAGAGAGUUAAACAGCACGUGAAAUUGUUGAAAGGGAAGCGCUUGCGACCAGACUCGCUUCCGGGGUUCAGCCGGCUUUCGGGCCGGUGUACUUCCCCGGGGACGGGCCAGCGUCGGUUUGGGCGGCCGGUCAAAGGCCCCUGGAAUGUAACGCCUCUCGGGGCGCCUUAUAGCCAGGGGUGUCAUGCGGCCAGCCUGGACCGAGGAACGCGCUUCGGCACGGACGCUGGCAUAAUGGUCGUAAACGACCCGUCUUGAAAC
Molecule: ribosomal RNA, 549 nt
Filed under: Aspergillus sp.
Lineage: Eukaryota; Fungi; Ascomycota; Eurotiomycetes; Eurotiales; Aspergillaceae
Description: LSU rRNA
Rfam family: Eukaryotic large subunit ribosomal RNA
Source: RNAcentral